This 253-nucleotide ribosomal RNA is filed under the name uncultured bacterium. RNAcentral's name for it is "partial 16S ribosomal RNA". It matches the Rfam family "Bacterial small subunit ribosomal RNA", at positions 524 to 776 of the family's 1533-position model. The record is from RNAcentral.
UACGAAGGGGGCUAGCGUUGUUCGGAAUCACUGGGCUUAAAGGGCGCGUAGGCGGCUCUCAAAGUCCGGGGUGAAAUCCUCCAGCUCAACUGGAGAAGGGCCUUGGAAACUAGAGGUCUCGAGGGAGGUAGGGGUCCGUGGAACUUCGGGUGGAGCGGUGAAAUGCGUUGAUAUCCGAAGGAACGCCGGUGGCGAAAGCGACGGACUGGAUCUCUUCUGACGCUGAGGCGCGAAAGCCAGGGGAGCAAACGGG